RNAcentral lists this transfer RNA (95 nucleotides) under Fusobacterium sp. FSA-380-WT-3A. RNAcentral describes it as "tRNA-Sec". It matches the Rfam family "Selenocysteine transfer RNA". The record is from RNAcentral. Lineage: Bacteria; Fusobacteriati; Fusobacteriota; Fusobacteriia; Fusobacteriales; Fusobacteriaceae.
GGAAGCGGCAGAAAACUGGUGUUUUCAGCAGUCUUCAAAACUGUAUUGGUGGGACAUAGUUCCAUGAUAGGUUCGAUUCCUAUACGCUUCCGCCA